This is a long non-coding RNA of Paramisgurnus dabryanus, 1257 nucleotides long. RefSeq lists it as uncharacterized. Lineage: Eukaryota; Metazoa; Chordata; Actinopteri; Cypriniformes; Cobitidae. The record is from RefSeq and is a predicted model, not a curated record.
AGAGUUUUGUAUUUCAUCAAGAAGGUGCUGAUUCACAAAGAUUUUAAAUUUAAGAAAAUCUGAGCAUCAUUCCAAAUAACUGUUAACAUGUUUGUCAACUAAACAUGUUUUGUUAACGUAAUAAACUUUAUAAAAAUAUUUUUUAUUUUUUAUUAAUAAUCAAGUAUAAAGAACAAUGCAUAGUGUGAAAAUGCGGAUUAUAAAAAAGUAUAUUAAAGAAAAGGACUACAUUUCCCAGAAUGCACCUGCACCCACUCAUCUGACUGCCCCCACCCUUCAGGUGCGACUGCUCAACCUAUGGGCUUGACGGAAAAUUCAAAUCGCGAACCGUUACUGCCUGGACUACUCCGUCUCUUGUUUGUUUGUUUGCUCAUUAACAGUAAGAGGUCAUGUACACUGUGGUCAACUUUGUGGACGAUGAAGAGGUUUCUGGGUAAAGAUGAUAGAAAUAUAAUGAAGUAACAGUGAAACCUAAAACAUCAGACUAAUCCAGACACUGAAGAAAUUGAUGUCACUGCAAUCUGGCCAAAAUGAUACAACUAUAUUGAAGUAGCCUACUGUAAUGAAGCUGCAGAACAACACACAGACUCUUGAGGACAUCAACACAGAAAAUGAAGGCUCCAAAGAGAUGUCUGUCCAGAUGAGGGUGCAUCAAUGUUACGUUUGCUGACAAGUAUAUGCUUUACAAUGUAAAACCUAACAGUUAACUUAACUCAAACCAUUUAAGGAAAUCGGUUGCCUUAACCCAUUAAGUUUUAAAAAACAUACAUUUGAGUACUGUGAACUUAAGUCUUGUGCAAUUAUGCACUUAUAUUUAGUUAGUGUGAACUUAAAUAUAAGUGCAUAACUGCAUGUGACUCAAUUUGUUUAAGUUCACAGUACUCAAAUCCAUGUGUUUUAAAACUUAAAUGGUUUAAUGCAACCGGUUUUCUUAAAUGGUUUGAGUUUAGUUAACUUUUAGGUUUUACAGUGAGAAAUUCUUGAAUAAUUCCAAGACAGAGCUCUGCAAUUGAAUCAACACUGCAAAAAAUCAGUUUCUAACUUAGGAUUUUUAUCUUGUUUUUAGUAGAAAAACUAAAAAUUCUUAAAUCAUAAAGAAAAUGUCUAGUUUUUAGACAAAAAUAUACAAUUUAAGUAAAUUUGUGCCUGAACAAGCAAAAAUAUAUAACAGUGGGGUGAGAAAAUUGUGCUUGAAUUAAGUUUUUAAGAAAAAAGAAAACGUAAGAUUUUUUCUCACACCAUUGGCAGAUAUUUUUG